This 253-nucleotide ribosomal RNA is filed under the name uncultured bacterium. RNAcentral's name for it is "partial 16S ribosomal RNA". It matches the Rfam family "Bacterial small subunit ribosomal RNA", at positions 524 to 776 of the family's 1533-position model. The record is from RNAcentral.
UACGGAGGGGGCGAGCGUUAUUCGGAAUUAUUGGGCGUAAAGGGCGCGUAGGCGGUGCGGUAAGUCUGUAGUGAAAUCUCUGGGCUCAACUCAGAGUCUGCUGCAGAAACUGCCGUGCUUGAGUGUGGGAGAGGUGAGUGGAAUCCCCGGUGUAGCGGUGAAAUGCGUAGAUAUCGGGAGGAACACCUGUGGCGAAAGCGGCUCACUGGACCACAACUGACGCUGAGGCGCGAAAGCUAGGGGAGCAAACAGG